CAGCAAGCCACGGCUAACUACGUGCCAGCAGCCGCGGUAAUACGUAGGUGGCAAGCGUUGUCCGGAUUUAUUGGGCGUAAAGGGAGCGCAGGUGGUUUCUUAAGUCUGAUGUGAAAGCCCACGGCUUAACCGUGGAGGGUCAUUGGAAACUGGGAAACUUGAGUACAGAAGAGGAAUGUGGAACUCCAUGUGUAGCGGUGGAAUGCGUAGAUAUAUGGAAGAACACCAGUGGCGAAGGCGACAUUCUGGUCUGUUACUGACACUGAGGCUCGAAAGCGUGGGGUGCAAACAGGAUUAGAUACCCUGGUAGUCCACGCCGUAAACGAUGAGUGCUAGGUGUUGGAGGGUCUCCGCCCUUCAGUGCCGCAGUUAACGCAUUAAGCACUCCGCCUGGGGAGUACGACCGCAAGGUUGAAACUCAAAGGAAUUGACGGGGACCCGCACAAGCGGUGGAGCAUGUGGUUUAAUUCGAAGCAACGCGAAGAACCUUACCAAGUCUUGACAUCCUUUGACCACCCUAGAGAUAGGGUUUUCCCUUCGGGGACAAAGUGACAGGUGGUGCAUGGUUGUCGUCAGCUCGUGUCGUGAGAUGUUGGGUUAAGCCCCGCAACGAGCGCAACCCCUAUUAUUAGUUGCCAGCAUUUAGUUGGGCACUCUAAUGAGACUGCCGGUGACAAACCGGAGGAAGGUGGGGAUGACGUCAAAUCAGCAUGCCCCUUAUGACUUGGGCUACACACGUGCUACAAUGGAUGGUACAACGAGUCGCAAACCCGCGAGGGCAAACAAAUCUCUUAAAGCCAUUCUCAGUUCGGAUUGCAGGCUGCAACUCGCCUGCAUGAAGCCGGAAUCGCUAGUAAUCGUGGAUCAGCACGCCACGGUGAAUACGUUCCCGGGUCUUGUACACACCGCCCGUCA
This 915-nucleotide ribosomal RNA is filed under the name uncultured bacterium. Its description in RNAcentral is "bacterial SSU rRNA". It matches the Rfam family "Bacterial small subunit ribosomal RNA", at positions 484 to 1399 of the family's 1533-position model. The record is from RNAcentral.